Molecule: ribosomal RNA, 546 nt
Filed under: uncultured crenarchaeote
Lineage: Archaea; Thermoproteati; Thermoproteota
Description: bacterial SSU rRNA
Rfam family: Archaeal small subunit ribosomal RNA
Source: RNAcentral
UUGGUGAGGUAAUGGCCCACCAAGACUAUUACAGGUACGGGCUCUGAGAGGAGUAGCCCGGAGAUGGGUACUGAGACACGGACCCAGGCCCUAUGGGGCGCAGCAGGCGAGAAAACUUUGCAAUGUGCGAAAGCACGACAAGGUUAAUCCGAGUGAUUUGUGCUAAACGAAUCUUUUGUUAGUCCUAGAAACACUAACGAAUAAGGGGUGGGCAAGUUCUGGUGUCAGCCGCCGCGGUAAAACCAGCACCUCAAGUGGUCAGGAUGAUUAUUGGGCCUAAAGCAUCCGUAGCCGGCUCUGUAAGUUUUCGGUUAAAUCUGUACGCCUAACGUACAGGCUGCCGGGAAUACUGCAGAGCUAGGGAGAGGGAGAGGUAGACGGUACUCGGUAGGAAGUGGUAAAAUGCUUUGAUCUAUCGAUGACCACCUGUGGCGAAGGCGGUCUACCAGAACACGUCCGACGGUGAGGGAUGAAAGCUGGGGGAGCAAACCGGAUUAGAUACCCGGGUAGUCCCAGCUGUAAACUAUGCAAACUCAGUGAUGCAUU